AAAAUAGGGAUCUUUUGGUGGUUUUUGGUGUUUUUGAGAUGGUAACCGGUAUGAAUUGUUCACUAAUUGAUUCAUUGAUAGGUAUUUAGCUUAUUGGAGUUUUUGGGUUUUAUUGAUUUAUUGCAUUUAGAUGGAACUCUUGUGAAUCACAAUACCAAAUAUUUUCCAAUUGGACCAGUUUAUUUGUUAUCUGUUUUAGUUUGAUGAUUUAUCAAUUAUCAUGUUGUAUAGGUUGUUUUCUUUGCUUCUGCUUCUGCUGUUAGUAUUUCUUUCCCUAUGAUAUAUGGAGCCUUUGUAAGGUUGACCACAACCAGUAUUCCAACUGAUGGGUGAGUACAUCAUGUGUAUUUAUUGAAAAUCAGGCAUAGUUGGUGCAAUUGUGUUCACUUGUUUUGAGUAAAAUAAAUGUCUUGUUUAAUAUAUGGCUUCAUUCUUGCUUGAGUACUAGAUUUUGGGGGUUGGGGCAUUGCUAAUAGUUACUGAGCAUGAGUGCAAGUUCCUAACUAUGCUUGAUUGUAAACUUUUGAUUACUUUCUAUAGGUGUUGUGCAAAAAGGUAUUUAAUGCUAUUUUUAGAGACUGUAAUGGUAUUUCCAUUUUCUACUUAUGUUUUGUUGAUUGAAAUUCUAUGGUGAUUGAAUUUGCUUCAUCGCCGUUUUCUAUCACAAGCACUAAAUCCCUAGUCAUCGACCUAAAUCCUUAAAUUGUUGUUUCCUUCAUUUCAAUACCUAAUCCCUAAAUUUUCGACGAAGCUUCUCAAUUUCUGGCUAGUGACAAAGCUUCUAUUUCUUUCUCUCGUUGAACAUAGUUCAUUGUUUUCAUAUCAGGUUCCUUGUUCUCUCUUUGAGCAAGUUAUCCUUUGAAAAAACAACUAUCAGCUGAUUGUAUCAUAGCUUUGCUUUGGAUCUGUUUUUGUUGGUUGUGAAGAUUAGUAGAAUGGCAUGUUAGGUUGAGAAUUGAAAUUUAAGAUUUUGUAUGAUUUUUAUGAUGUUUUUUUUUUUGAGAAUUGAUUGUUUGUUUUGUUUUGUGAGGUUUGGAUGAGUAGAUCUGCUUCAUACAUUUAGCUACUUGCCUUGUGAUCUUAAUUUCAUCGAUCAUACUAGUGACAUUGGAUGGAAAGAACACCAGUGUGCGAGGCCGACAAUUGUUGAUCCGGGGUAGUACAUGAAUAAGAAGUAAGAUGUGUUUUGUGUUACAUAGACGAGAAGUAAACCAGCUGCUUUCAAACUUUUCACAGGUGAAGAUUCUUUUUCUUGUCUUCUGGGUUUUUUUUCCUUUAUAUAUAUGUUGCUCUAUGUUUGCAUAGUGGUUUUAUACUUUUUUCAACAUUGCCAGCUUUUUAGUGUUAAUUUUGGUUUAGCUUCUAUCUUGUGGAGCUUUUCACUUGAAUUAAGUUUGCAGUUCACCACUUGUUGAAAAGUCUUUAUUGGUGUUCAUGAAGAAGUUAAAUGAGAGAGCUUUUGAGAAAAUUGAGAUAAAAAACUAAUGUCAACUUAUACAAGAAGCUAUUGGAUUUUAACAUAGUUAAUUGGAUUUUAUUCUAUUGACUUUGUAUCGUAAUUUCAUACAACAAUGAUGAAUUUUGAUUCUAAUAGCACCUAAUAAGAUUAAUCAUGAAAAUGUCAAAAAUUCACAUAAGAACUUUGAAACACCAAAUAAAAGGUAAUAUACAGAGGUUGAUUUUUUAAUAUAUGUUUCUUGUUGCUUACAUUUUUUCAUUUUCCUCUUCUGGUUUUUGAGCUACUUGUAGAGUCGGCUUUAGAGAUUUGUUACAAUAUUGGAAGUCAUGGUGCACAUUGAAGCAAAAUUGUAUGGAUGGAACUAGUAGCAUAUAAAAGGAUUUCCAACUUUUGUAGAAAAUGUGGUGUUCAUUUUUAUUCUAGAGUUGAUACAUUCAGUGGUGGAUGCUUUCUUUGUUAACUUAAAUUUUGUUCCCGAAUAGUAAAUGUUACUAGUAACUAAAACUUAAAUAUGAGAAACUUGACUAAAAUGUUGAGUUUCCCUUUCUUUGAGCAGAAUCUGAUUUAGUGUGUCUCCCUUUUGUUAGUCUGAAAUACUGAGUUUCCCCAAGUUUCUUAAUAGUUUUUUUUUUGUCUCUUGUUUGAGGGGUUUGGUCAUUCAUGCAAUUCAUUACUUUACUCACACAUAUAGUGAUUGAAUUCAACUAAAGAUAGAAGCAUUUCUCAUUUUGCGCAGCCAAUUUCUUAAGUCUGCUGCCAAAUUUUAACCCUGCUGCUGAUUUUGUAACUCUGCUACCGUUUUCGUAAUUGAAUAAGAAGAAUCGAGAAAUGAUUAAGGAUCAUGAAGCAACAUAACAUACUAGGGAUUGCUUUUUUUCCUUUUAGAGUUUCAAGUUGUUUAAUUAAAUUUUUUAUGUGUAUGAAUGUUGUCACUAUUAAAUUAAUUAUAUGAAUGAAAUUAAAUUAUUUA
Molecule: long non-coding RNA, 2429 nt
Organism: Trifolium pratense (red clover)
Lineage: Eukaryota; Viridiplantae; Streptophyta; Magnoliopsida; Fabales; Fabaceae
Exons: 3
Source: RefSeq, a predicted model, not a curated record